This 633-nucleotide ribosomal RNA is filed under the name uncultured archaeon. RNAcentral describes it as "bacterial SSU rRNA". It matches the Rfam family "Archaeal small subunit ribosomal RNA", at positions 1 to 640 of the family's 1478-position model. The record is from RNAcentral.
UCCGGUUGACUGCCGGAGGCUACCGCUAUAGGAGUUCGAUUAAGCCAUGCGAGUCGCGAGAAAUUAGAUUCUCGGCGUACCGCUCAGUAACACGUGGGUAACCUGCCCUAUGCUGGAUAAUAACCUACGGGAAACUGAGAAUAGUGAUCCAUAGUUCACUACGCCUGGAACGGUGAGUGGAUGAAAGCUCCGGCGGCAUAGGAUGGGCCUGCGGCGUAUCAGGUUGUAGGGGGUGUAACGUACCCUCUAGCCCUCUACGCGUACGGGUGUUGGGAGACAUAGCCCGGAGAUGGAUUCUGAGACACGAAUCCAGACCCUACGGGGUGCAGCAGGCGCGAAAACUUGGCAAUGCGAGAAAUCGUGACCAGGGAACUCCAAGUGCAUCGGGUAAGACCGGUGCUUUUCUUGACUCUCAAUAGGUCUUGGAAUACGGGGUGGGUAAGGACGGUGCCAGCCGCCGAGGAAAUACCGGAGCCUCAAGUGGUAGUCGCUUAUAUUGGGCCUAAAUACGUCCGAAGACGGUCUGAUACAUUCGUGGGUAAAUCACACAGCUCAACUGGUUGAACUCUGCGAGGACGGACAGACUUGAGACCGGGAGAGGAGUGGAGUACGCUCAGGAUAGGGGUAAAACUG